RNAcentral lists this ribosomal RNA (300 nucleotides) under uncultured bacterium. RNAcentral describes it as "bacterial SSU rRNA". It matches the Rfam family "Bacterial small subunit ribosomal RNA", at positions 1083 to 1382 of the family's 1533-position model. The record is from RNAcentral.
AGUCCUAUAACGAGCGCAACCCCUGUCGUUAGUUGCCAUCAAGUAAUGUUGGGUACUCUAGCGAGACUGCCGGUGCAAACCGAGAGGAAGGUGGGGAUGACGUCAAAUCAUCACGGCCCUUACGUCCUGGGCUACACACGUGCUACAAUGGCCGGUACAGAGAGCAGCCACUACGCGAGUAGGAGCGAAUCUUCAAAACCGGUCUCAGUUCGGAUCGCAGUCUGCAACUCGACUGCGUGAAGCUGGAAUCGCUAGUAAUCGGAUAUCAGCCAUGAUCCGGUGAAUACGUUCCCGGGCCUU